CCUACGGGAGACUGCAGUGAGGAAUAUUGGUCAAUGGACGAGAGUCUGAACCAGCCAAGUAGCGUGAAGGAUGACUGCCCUAUGGGUUGUAAACUUCUUUUAUAAAGGAAUAAAACGAGGCACGUGUGCCUUUUUGCAUGUACUUUAUGAAUAAGGAUCGGCUAACUCCGUGCCAGCAGCCGCGGUAAUACGUAGGUGGCAAGCGUUGUCCGGAAUUACUGGGUGUAAAGGGAGCGCAGGCGGGAAGCCAAGUCAGCUGUGAAAACUACGGGCUUAACUUGUAGACUGCAGUUGAAACUGGUUUUCUUGAGUGAAGUAGAGGUUGGCGGAAUUCCGAGUGUAGCGGUGAAAUGCGUAGAUAUUCAGAGGAACACCGGUGGCGAAGGCGGCCAACUGGGCUUUAACUGACGCUGAGGCUCGAAAGUGUGGGGAGCAAACAGGAUUAGAUACCCCAGUAGUC
RNAcentral lists this ribosomal RNA (460 nucleotides) under uncultured bacterium. Its description in RNAcentral is "partial 16S ribosomal RNA". It matches the Rfam family "Bacterial small subunit ribosomal RNA", at positions 338 to 795 of the family's 1533-position model. The record is from RNAcentral.